This 253-nucleotide ribosomal RNA is filed under the name uncultured bacterium. Its description in RNAcentral is "partial 16S ribosomal RNA". It matches the Rfam family "Bacterial small subunit ribosomal RNA", at positions 524 to 776 of the family's 1533-position model. The record is from RNAcentral.
UACGGGGGGGGCAAGCGUUGUUCGGAAUUACUGGGCGUAAAGGGUUUGUAGGUGGCUUGUUAAGUCAGACGUGAAAUCCCUCAGCUUAACUGGGGAACUGCGUCUGAUACUGGCGAGCUUGAGUGCAGGAGAGGAACGCGGAAUUCCAGGUGUAGCGGUGAAAUGCGUAGAUAUCUGGAGGAACACCGGUGGCGAAGGCGAAUCCCUGGAAAAUACCUGACACUGAGGCACGAAAGCUAGGGGAGCAAACAGG